AGUGCUUUCAAAAGAAUUGGCGUCCGCUGUUCGCCUCACCUCCCGGGAGUCUUCUGCCUACUCCCAGAAGAGGAGGGAAGCACAAUAUGAAGACUUUGGAGACUCAACCGUUAGCUCCGGACUGCUGUCCUUCAGACCAGGACCCAGCUCCAGCCCAUCCUUCUCCCCACGCUUCCUCGAUGAAUAAAAAUGCGGACUCUGAACUGAUGCCACCGCCUCCCGAAAGGGGGGAUCCGCCCCGGUUGUCCCCAGAUCCUGUGGCUGGCUCAGCUGUGUCCCAGGAGCUAGGGGAGGGGGACCCAGUUUCUCUCUCCACUCCCCUGGAAACAGAGUUUGGUUCCCCUAGUGAGUUGAAUCCUCGAAUCGAGGAGCAAGAACUUUCCGAAAAUACAAGCCUUCCUGCAGAAGAAGCAAACGGGAGCCUUUCUGAAGAAGAAGCGAACGGGCCAGAGUUGGGGUCUGGAGAAGCCAUGGAAGAUACCUCUGGGGAACCCGCUGCAGAGGACGAGGGAGACACCGCUUGGAACUACAGCUUCUCUCAGCUGCCUCGAUUUCUCAGUGGUUCCUGGUCAGAGUUCAGCACCCAACCUGAGAACUUCUUGAAAGGCUGUAAGUGGGCUCCUGACGGUUCCUGCAUCUUGACCAAUAGUGCUGAUAACAUCUUGCGAAUUUAUAACCUGCCCCCAGAGCUGUACCAUGAGGGGGAGCAGGUGGAAUAUGCAGAAAUGGUCCCUGUCCUUCGAAUGGUGGAAGGUGAUACCAUCUAUGAUUACUGCUGGUAUUCUCUGAUGUCCUCAGCCCAGCCAGACACCUCCUACACCGGGGUUUCAGUGUCCAUGUCUCUCUCAGCGUGGCCAGCAGCAGCCGGGAGAACCCGAUUCAUAUCUGGGACGCAUUCACUGGAGAGCUCCGGGCUUCCUUUCGCGCCUACAACCACCUGGAUGAGCUGACGGCAGCCCAUUCGCUCUGCUUCUCCCCGGAUGGCUCCCAGCUCUUCUGUGGCUUCAACCGGACUGUGCGUGUUUUUUCCACGGCCCGGCCUGGCCGAGACUGCGAGGUCCGAGCCACAUUUGGUAAGCAUCUGUGCCGCCAAGGGAGGAGGAGAGGGAAGGGCACUGCCACCUGCACAGGGGCCUUUUGUGAGCCAGGGGCCACCUGUGGGGUUUCACGCCGUCCUCUGUACGGCCCCGGGAGCAGGUGCAGCCCAGUCGGCAGAGGAGCAAACAGGCUCAGAGCAGGUAGGAAACCUUCCCAAGGCCAACCAGCUGGUCAAAGGACUGCUUCCUUCCUGAACUCAUACCCUGUCAGCUGUGGAGCUUUUGGUCUCUGAAAUCUUUCUAGAAAAUUGUUGAUAAAGCUGAUUCCGUUUUCCUGUAGGCCUUCAACUUGCAUCUCUCCAAGGAAAAACUGGGAUUUGAGAGGGAUGAAGUGGGGCUUGGGCAUUUAGGUCCUUUGGGAGGAUAGAUGUGGGGAGCAUCAGAGGUCUUUGUCCUGCUUGUGACAGACAGCAUGGGGGAGAUGUUGAGUCCAAACAUGUUGGCGCUGGGACGGGAGACAGACCUCUGCUUAGCCUGGUUAGUGCCAGGAGCCAUUGCCCCCUCCCCCACUUUGUUCCUUCCCUCUCUAGCAAAAAAGCAGGGCCAGAGCGGCAUCAUCUCCUGCAUAGCCUUCAGCCCAGCCCAGCCCCUCUAUGCCUGUGGCUCCUACGGCCGCUCCCUGGGUCUGUAUGCCUGGGAUGAUGGCUCCCCUCUCGCCUUGCUGGGAGGGCACCAAGGGGGCAUCACCCACCUCUGCUUUCAUCCCGAUGGCAACCGCUUCUUCUCAGGAGCCCGCAAGGUAGGGGUCACACCCUGAGAGCCCAAAGCAGCUGGGCAGCGGGGCAGGAGCAGGGAUGUAGUCUGCAGUGUAGGGGAAUGGGUGGGGAUGGGGAAAAAAUCCCAAGCUGAAGGAGUGCCUGGAGACCCCGAGGGAGGCAGGGACAUCCAGGGCUUUGGGGGUGACUCCAGGUCCUGUUCCUUGUCUCCAGGAUGCUGAGCUCCUGUGCUGGGAUCUCCGGCAGUCUGGUUACCCACUGUGGUCCCUGGGUCGAGAGGUGACCACCAAUCAGCGCAUCUACUUCGAUCUGGACCCGACCGGGCAGUUCCUAGUGAGUGGCAGCACGAGCGGGGCCGUCUCUGUGUGGGACACGGACGGGCCUGGCAAUGAUGGGAAGCCGGAGCCCGUGUUGAGUUUUCUGCCCCAGAAGGACUGCACCAAUGGCGUGAGCCUGCACCCUAGCCUGCCUCUCCUGGCCACUGCCUCCGGUCAGCGUGUGUUUCCUGAGCCCACAGAGAGUGGGGACGAAGGAGAGGAGCUGGGCCUUCCCUUGCUCUCCACGCGCCACGUCCACCUUGAAUGUCGGCUUCAGCUCUGGUGGUGUGGGGGGGGGCCAGACUCCAGCAUCCCUGAUGAUCACCAGGGCGAGAAAGGGCAGGGAGGAACGGAGGGAGGUGUGGGUGAGCUUAUAUAAAAAGGUUUUUAUGAUA
This 2525-nucleotide small RNA is filed under the name Pan troglodytes (chimpanzee). RNAcentral's name for it is "retained intron". The record is from RNAcentral. Lineage: Eukaryota; Metazoa; Chordata; Mammalia; Primates; Hominidae.